GGGGAAUCUUGCGCAAUGGGGGAAACCCUUACGCAGCAAUACCGCGUGAGUGAAGAAGGUUUUCGGAUCGUAAAGCUCUGUUAUUAGGGAAGAAUAAUGACGGUACCUAAUGAGGAAGUCCCGGCUAACUACGUGCCAGCAGCCGCGGUAAUACGUAGGGGACGAGCGUUGUCCGGAAUGACUGGGCGUAAAGGGCGCGUAGGCGGUUUAUUAAGUCUGAUGUGAAAGGUACCGGCUCAACCGGUGAAGUGCAUUGGAAACUGGUAGAACUUGAGUAUUGGAGAGGCAAGUGGAAUUCCCAGUGUAGCGGUGAAAUGCGUAGAUAUUAGGAGGAACACCGGUGGCGAAGGCGGCUUGCUGGACAAAUACUGACGCUGAGGUGCUAAAGCGUGGGGAGCAAACA
RNAcentral lists this ribosomal RNA (403 nucleotides) under uncultured Eubacteriaceae bacterium. RNAcentral describes it as "bacterial SSU rRNA". It matches the Rfam family "Bacterial small subunit ribosomal RNA", at positions 356 to 774 of the family's 1533-position model. The record is from RNAcentral. Lineage: Bacteria; Bacillati; Bacillota; Clostridia; Eubacteriales; Eubacteriaceae.